UCUUAUCAAGAGUGGUGGAGGGACUGGCCCGUUGAAACCCGGCAACCUGUUGCAAGUGACAAGUGAUAAGUGAUAAAUGGCAAGUUAAUAUUAAUAACUUGCCAUCUGUCACUUGAAACUUGUCACUGUUCGAACGUGGUGCUAAUUCCACAGCUUUAAGCUGAUAGAUAAGG
This 173-nucleotide non-coding RNA is filed under the name Clostridium cuniculi. RNAcentral describes it as "SAM riboswitch (S box leader)". It matches the Rfam family "SAM riboswitch aptamer (S box leader)". Rfam says of the family: The SAM riboswitch is found upstream of a number of genes which code for proteins involved in methionine or cysteine biosynthesis in Gram-positive bacteria. The SAM riboswitch acts at the level of transcription termination control. The predicted structure consists of a complex stem-loop region followed by a single stem loop terminator region. The record is from RNAcentral. Lineage: Bacteria; Bacillati; Bacillota; Clostridia; Eubacteriales; Clostridiaceae.